UUUUCCCGGUUGGUCCUGCCGGAGGCCAUUGCUAUUGGGAUCCGAUUUAGCCAUGCUAGUCGCACGAGUUCAGACUCGUGGCGAAUAGCUCAGUAACACGUGGCCAAACUACCCUUCGGAACACAAUACCCUCGGGAAACUGAGGCUAAUAGUGUAUAUCGUACCACCACUGGAAUGAGUGGUACGCCAAACGCUCCGGCGCCGAAGGAUGUGGCUGCGGCCGAUUAGGUAGACGGUGGGGUAACGGCCCACCGUGCCAAUAAUCGGUAUGGGUCAUGAGAGUGAGAACCCAGAGACGGAAUCUGAGACAAGAUUCCGGGCCCUACGGGGCGCAGCAGGCGCGAAACCUUUACACUGCACGACAGUGCGAUAGGGGGAUCCCAAGUGCACAGGCAUAGCGCCUGUGCUUUUCGGCACCCUAAGGCGGUGCCAGAAUAAGGGCUGGGCAAGACCGGUGCCAGCCGCCGCGGUAAUACCGGCAGCCCAAGUGAUGGCCGAUCUUAUUGGGCCUAAAGCGUCCGUAGCUGGCCGCGCAAGUCCAUCGGGAAAUCCACCUGCUCAACAGGUGGGCGCCCGGUAGAAACUGCGUGGCUUGGGACCGGAAGGCGCGACGGGUACGUCCGGGGUAGGAGUGAAAUCCCGUAAUCCUGGACGGACCGCCGAUGGCGAAAGCACGUCGCGAGAACGGAUCCGACAGUGAGGGACGAAAGCCAGGGUCUCGAACCGGAUUAGAUACCCGGGUAGUCCUGGCCGUAAACAAUGUCUGCUAGGUGUGGCUCCCACUACGAGUGGGUGCUGUGCCGUAGGGAAGCCGCUAAGCAGACCGCCUGGGAAGUACGUCCGCAAGGAUGAAACUUAAAGGAAUUGGCGGGGGAGCACUACAACCGGAGGAGCCUGCGGUUUAAUUGGACUCAACGCCGGACAUCUCACCAGCAUCGACUGUGGUAAUGACGAUCAGGUUGAUGACCUUAUCCGAGCCUCAGAGAGGAGGUGCAUGGCCGCCGUCAGCUCGUACCGUGAGGCGUCCUGUUAAGUCAGGCAACGAGCGAGACCCGCACCCUUACUUGCCAGCAGUACCGCGAGGUAGCUGGGGACAGUAGGGGGACCGCCGUGGCUAACACGGAGGAAGGAACGGGCAACGGUAGGUCAGUAUGCCCCGAAUGUGCUGGGCAACACGCGGGCUACAAUGGUCGAGACAAAGGGUUCCUACUCCGAAAGGAGACGGUAAUCUCAGAAACUCGAUCGUAGUUCGGAUUGUGGGCUGCAACUCGCCCACAUGAAGCUGGAUUCGGUAGUAAUCGUGUGUCACAAGCGCGCGGUGAAUACGUCCCUGCUCCUUGCACACACCGCCCGUCAAAGCACCCGAGUGAGGUCCGGAUGAGGCGUCCACGAACGUCGA
Molecule: ribosomal RNA, 1399 nt
Filed under: Halorubrum californiense
Lineage: Archaea; Methanobacteriati; Methanobacteriota; Halobacteria; Halobacteriales; Haloferacaceae
Description: bacterial SSU rRNA
Rfam family: Archaeal small subunit ribosomal RNA
Source: RNAcentral